CUGGCUCAGGAUGAACGCUAGCUACAGGCUUAACACAUGCAAGUCGAGGGGCAGCAUGUGGUUGCUGCAACCAAUGAUGGCGACCGGCGCACGGGUGAGUAACGCGUAUCCAACCUUCCGCAUAGUAGGGGAUAGCCCGGUGAAAAUCGGAUUAAUACCCUAUGUUAUUCGCAGAAGACAUCUGAAGUGAAUCAAAGGUUUACCGCUAUGCGAUGGGGAUGCGUCUGAUUAGGUAGACGGCGGGGUAACGGCCCACCGUGCCAACGAUCAGUAGGGGUUCUGAGAGGAAGGUCCCCCACAUUGGAACUGAGACACGGUCCAAACUCCUACGGGAGGCAGCAGUGAGGAAUAUUGCGCAAUGGGGGAAACCCUGAACCGCAGCAAUGCCGCGUGAAGGAUGAAGGUCUUCGGAUUGUAAACUUCUUUUGUCAGGGACGAAAUUGACGGUACCUGACGAAUAAGCUCCGGCUAACUACGUGCCAGCCGCCGC
This 490-nucleotide ribosomal RNA is filed under the name uncultured bacterium. RNAcentral's name for it is "bacterial SSU rRNA". It matches the Rfam family "Bacterial small subunit ribosomal RNA", at positions 19 to 518 of the family's 1533-position model. The record is from RNAcentral.